GUAGAUUUGAAGCAUGUUUGUUGCAACCUGACAGUUGUGAAGCAUCAGAUGAAAAGAGAGGAAACAAGCUUCAGUGACACCCUGCAAAAAAGGGAGAAUGUUGACAGCCCAAAGAUUCAAAGAUGGGAGGAGAGAGAUCAUGAAGUGAAGUCACUAAUGGGAGAAACCAUCGCAAAAUCCUGGAGACAUGGGGCUUUUCUAGAGAAUUUUGAGGAGGCAACGUCACCCGAAAACUGAAAUGCAUAGUUGAAAUUUAACAAACUGCAACGAAUGAUCCAAGAGAGCAGAAACCAUGGCCAGCUCACACUGAGCAGGGGCAGUCCACCCACACUUAUUCCCAGUGAUUCAGGAAUUUAGGGCGCAGAGCCAAGAACAAAGCAGGACAUUGAAAAGAGCAUGUAGCAAGCACCCCCAAGAUUGGCCUUUCUCCUGUGGAACUCACUCAAUGUUCAGCCACCCCAUAGUCACAAAGACACAGGGAAAAUGAAGUCAGAAAACUAAAAACGUGACAGAGUAGUAGCUGAGGGAAAGGAAAGAAAGCUGAAUCAUGUCACACUGGAAGCGACUGCAAAGGGGAAAACCACGGGCCAAAAUGCCGGAGAGGCCAAUUUCCUCUAUCAGUGUCCACUGAGAAGGGGGAAGGGAGGGAAACGCAGAUUUCCCAGCAG
Molecule: long non-coding RNA, 668 nt
Filed under: Capra hircus (goat)
Lineage: Eukaryota; Metazoa; Chordata; Mammalia; Artiodactyla; Bovidae
Description: lncRNA (ENSCHIG00000006899.1)
Source: RNAcentral